Molecule: non-coding RNA, 398 nt
Organism: Pelobates cultripes (western spadefoot toad)
Lineage: Eukaryota; Metazoa; Chordata; Amphibia; Anura; Pelobatidae
Source: the annotation of a GenBank genome assembly
GCUUAACACACGGCGCAUGCGCAACAUAGGGAGCUUAACACACGGCGCAUGCGCAACAUAGGGAGCUUAACACACGGCGCAUGCGCAACAUAGGGAGCUUAAAACACUGGGCAUGCGCAACAUAGGGAGCUUAACACACGGCGCAUGCGCGGCAUAGGGAGCUUAACACACGGCGCAUGCGCAACAUAGGGAGCUUAACACACGGCGCAUGCGCAACAUAGGGAGCUUAACACACGGCGCAUGCGCAGCAUAGGGCGCUUAACACACGGCGCAUGCGCAACAUAGGGAGCUUAACACACGGCGCAUGCGCAGCAUAGGGCGCUUAACACACGGCGCAUGCGCAACAUAGGGAGCUUAACACACGGCUCAUGCGCGGCAUAGGGCGCUUAACACACGGC